UGGCGGCAGGCCUAACACAUGCAAGUCGAGCGGUAGAGAGAAGCUUGCUUCUCUUGAGAGCGGCGGACGGGUGAGUAAUACCUAGGAAUCUGCCUGGUAGUGGGGGAUAACGUUCGGAAACGGACGCUAAUACCGCAUACGUCCUACGGGAGAAAGCAGGGGACCUUCGGGCCUUGCGCUAUCAGAUGAGCCUAGGUCGGAUUAGCUAGUUGGUGAGGUAAUGGCUCACCAAGGCUACGAUCCGUAACUGGUCUGAGAGGAUGAUCAGUCACACUGGAACUGAGACACGGUCCAGACUCCUACGGGAGGCAGCAGUGGGGAAUAUUGGACAAUGGGCGAAAGCCUGAUCCAGCCAUGCCGCGUGUGUGAAGAAGGUCUUCGGAUUGUAAAGCACUUUAAGUUGGGAGGAAGGGCAGUAAAUUAAUACUUUGCUGUUUGACGUUACCGACAGAAUAAGCACCGGCUAACUCUGUGCCAGCAGCCGCGGUAAUACAGAGGGUGCAAGCGUUAAUCGGAAUUACUGGGCGUAAAGCGCGCGUAGGUGGUUUGUUAAGUUGAAUGUGAAAUCCCCGGGCUCAACCUGGGAACUGCAUCCAAAACUGGCAAGCUAGAGUAUGGUAGAGGGUAGUGGAAUUUCCUGUGUAGCGGUGAAAUGCGUAGAUAUAGGAAGGAACACCAGUGGCGAAGGCGACUACCUGGACUGAUACUGACACUGAGGUGCGAAAGCGUG
RNAcentral lists this ribosomal RNA (730 nucleotides) under uncultured bacterium. Its description in RNAcentral is "bacterial SSU rRNA". It matches the Rfam family "Bacterial small subunit ribosomal RNA", at positions 37 to 763 of the family's 1533-position model. The record is from RNAcentral.